AACGAAAACUGUUUUUCAUCAGCGGUUACUGAACAAACUGUAAAAUUGUCAGUGUCAACAGAGAGGGAACGGGACUUUGCCACGAUGGGGGCAGGAAGGUUCGAAUCCUUACAAGGUCCGUUUCGAUGCACCUGGAGAUGCGAAUCACCAGGGAAGGGCUGAGAGUCAAGCCAAUGACUCGAAGAAGCCGUGUAAAGGUUGCACUCUGGACGUUAAAUGGGUUUAACGGAGCAC
RNAcentral lists this unclassified non-coding RNA (234 nucleotides) under uncultured archaeon. Its description in RNAcentral is "16S-23S ribosomal RNA intergenic spacer". The record is from RNAcentral.